GAUGAAAAACGCAGCGAAAUGCGAUAAGUAAUGUGAAUUGCAGAAUUCAGUGAAUCAUCGAAUCUUUGAACGCACAUUGCGCCCGCCAGUAUUCUGGCGGGCAUGCCUGUUCGAGCGUCAUUACAACCCUCAGGCCCCCGGGCCUGGCGUUGGGGAUCGGCGGUAGCCCCCUGCGGGCACAACGCCGUCCCCCAAAUACAGUGGCGGUCCCGCCGCAGCUUCCAUUGCGUAGUAGCUAACACCUCGCAACUGGAGAGCGGCGCGGCCACGCCGUAAAACACCCAACUUCUGAAUGUUGACCUCGAAUCAGGUAGGAAUACCCGCUGAACUUAAGCAUAUCAAUAAGCGGAGGA
RNAcentral lists this unclassified non-coding RNA (353 nucleotides) under soil metagenome. RNAcentral's name for it is "partial contains 5.8S ribosomal RNA, internal transcribed spacer 2, and large subunit ribosomal RNA". The stretch from base 1 to 120 matches the Rfam family "5.8S ribosomal RNA", at positions 35 to 154 of the family's 154-position model. The record is from RNAcentral.